CUGUUUCCUGGCAACCAGCUCACUACUCCCUGAAGGGCACUUUCAAGAAAGUUCAAUCAAUGGAAGGGUCAAAUGUUUUCUUUUUCAAACGUCCAUUUUGCAUGUAAUGGCUGCUCCAUGCAGAGUUUACGGGUGUUCUCUUGUUCAUGAGAUCUAGCGUCCUUCUGCACAAAUGCAUGUGCUAUGGGGAAAAUGAACUCCCACCCCAGAAACGCAUUUUCUGAAAGGGCUUUAAGAUGGUGAGAGAAACGGCCAGUCAGGAGACAGUUGUGUACACCGAACUCUAGCUGAGGAAACAGUAACAAGAAGCCACAUCCUGAUUCGCAUCCUCCUCCCGAAACCCUGCAACUUCCUGAAUUCCCGUGCUCCUCAGGCGGGACUUCCUGUUGGAGAUGGAGCUAAAGAAGCUGAAAAACUCCUCCAUCCUUCCUAAGAUAGAUCUCAUUUAUGCAUGAGGUCAGACAAAUUUCCCUAAUGCUGCCCUUGAGGGGAUAUCCGGGGAUAACAAAGGCUGUCUUCCAUGCCUCUCCCCGAAUCGAGAUGUAAACCAGAAAACAUAAAAUAAAAAGCCAAAAAUCAUUCCAAAAAGUCGACAUUAAAUUGACAAAAAGACCCCGU
This is a long non-coding RNA of Equus asinus (donkey), 618 nucleotides long. The record is from Ensembl. Lineage: Eukaryota; Metazoa; Chordata; Mammalia; Perissodactyla; Equidae.